GUGUCAGCCGCCGCGGUAAUACGUAGGGUGCGAGCGUUAAUCGGAAUUACUGGGCGUAAAGCGAGCGCAGACGGUUAUUUAAGCAAGAUGUGAAAGCCCCGGGCUCAACCUGGGAACUGCGUUUUGAACUGGGUAACUAGAGUGUGUCAGAGGGGGGUAGAAUUCCACGUGUAGCAGUGAAAUGCGUAGAGAUGUGGAGGAAUACCGAUGGCGAAGGCAGCCCCCUGGGAUAACACUGACGUUCAUGCUCGAAAGCGUGGGUAGCAAACAGGAUUAGAUACCCUGGUAGUCCACGCCCUAAACGAUGUCAAUUAGCUGUUGGGGUACAUGAUGCCUUAGUAGCGUAGCUAACGCGUGAAAUUGACCGCCUGGGGAGUACGGUCGCAAGAUUAAAACUCAAAUAAAUUGACGG
This 412-nucleotide ribosomal RNA is filed under the name uncultured bacterium. RNAcentral's name for it is "bacterial SSU rRNA". It matches the Rfam family "Bacterial small subunit ribosomal RNA", at positions 505 to 916 of the family's 1533-position model. The record is from RNAcentral.